This is a long non-coding RNA of Dermochelys coriacea (leatherback sea turtle), 1609 nucleotides long. RefSeq lists it as uncharacterized. The transcript has 3 exons. NCBI's taxonomy places the organism in Eukaryota, Metazoa, Chordata, Testudines, Dermochelyidae. The record is from RefSeq and is a predicted model, not a curated record.
UGAUGUUUUAUAUGCCAGUUGCAGAAGAUGGGGGGGAAAAAUCUCAUUAGUUUAAUUCACCAUUCAUACUCUCUUUAUUCAAAAUGUUUAUAACAGUUGUCUCUUGCGCACACAGUACCAAUAUCCAAACUUCUCCUUUGUAUGUGUCCUUCAGUUAACUUGUUUUGAUUCUGUUUUGUAGCUUGUCACCUUUGGGGGGGAAAAAAUCACUUUGGCUCUUAGGUUUAAAGAAGCUGCGAUUCCUAUGAACGUGUUUUCUUCAGGUUGUUGAGAGGGAGAAGGGGAAGAUUAUUUCCUUCCCUAGAGCCUCUUGAUUGUUGUAGGAAGGUAUCAUUUCUCUGCUUCUUUAUUUCUCCUUGAGCCUACUGGCUGCUGUGCAUGAUGGGGUAUAUCUCUUGCUAUUCUUGACUUCCCUCAGCCUCACCUCUGAGGUUUUGUUCAGUUUUAUCUGAUACUCCUUGUGAAUAGUUGCAGUGCUUGUUCACACACUUGUCUCUUGGAGAUUUGUAAGCAACAGCAGAAAGAGAACAGAUGACAGCUGACCACCAGUUUGUGAAGAGCAGAAGUGAAACUGAUGGGAGCGUUCUUAAUUUCAUACUGCUGCUGCUGCUGCUUAGAAAUAAUAGGAGAGACACUGGAGUGAUCUGUUUGUAGUCACAUGAAGACAGCACUGAAUUAGUUUAUAUUUGGAUGGUUAACUGCAACCAAAAGGAUUAGCAACUAAAAAAAGAGAAGCUAGAGUUUGCAUAAAUUGAUGGAUUAGCCCACAACCACCACUUGAAAGCCUUGCAGUUACCAUUAAGAAGUAGAUGAGUGGAUUCUUUGAACCUUGCUAUAUUUAAUCACCAAGCAACUGCGGAUCUCAGCCUCUCAUGAAGAAUUUCAUAUACUCGCUAUACUGUUUUUAAAAGUUUGUCACAAUAAAUAAAAAAUCCAUCGUCAAAUAUGAUGAUUUGGCCUAAUGAAUCUCUUCUGAUUCCUCAUACAGGCCAGUUAGUUAAAUGUUAUUACUGCAUUUAUAAGAUGCCCAUCACUGUAGUAUCUAGGCACAUGUUACAAGGUUUACAUUUUGUCAAUUUAUAUUGUAAAUGAGAAUUAAGAAACAUGAAACCCCUUAUUAUCCUCAUCUUUUAAUCUGAUUUUUCAGCUAGGAACCUAGGAAUUAAUAGUUUAAUUAUUUGUAAAGUUCUGAGCAAAGAGAUGUAUCUUGUGGCACUUUCUAAACAUAGCCUGGUUUGAAAGCAUAUUUCUUUAUAGAAAGAAUUCCAGAGAUGUGGCCAGCUACCAAAAAUACCCAGUUUUCAGCUCCAUAUGAAUAGUAUACAAAUUUAGUUCCAGUUAAAUAUGAAUUUAAUUUUUGAAAUAUGGACAUAAUAUGCUUGAAACUUUUAGGAUUGAAAGUCUUUGGUUGGGAGGGAUGCAAACUCUGUUAAGAAAAUAAUUACAAAGUCACAUUAGUGCAAGUGCAUUGUAAACCAUGUAAAAUGGGAAUAUUUUGUGCUCAUGAUUACCCUACAGAAUUUUUUCAUUUAUUAAUAUAAGUACUUAUUAUUGUAUUGUAUAAUUAAGGAUCUUUUCUUUAUACAAUUUAACAAAAAAAUAAAAAUUU